This 654-nucleotide ribosomal RNA is filed under the name Stutzerimonas stutzeri. Its description in RNAcentral is "bacterial SSU rRNA". It matches the Rfam family "Bacterial small subunit ribosomal RNA", at positions 45 to 698 of the family's 1533-position model. Lineage: Bacteria; Pseudomonadati; Pseudomonadota; Gammaproteobacteria; Pseudomonadales; Pseudomonadaceae. The record is from RNAcentral.
GGCUACGCAAUUGCAGUCGAGCGGAUGAAUGGAGCUUGCUCCCUGAUUAGCGGCGGAGGGUGAGUAAUGCCUAGGAAUCUGCCGGGUAGUGGGGGACAACGUUUCGAAAGGAACGCUAAUACCGCAGACAUCCUACGGGAGAAAGUGGGGGAUCUUCGGACCUCACGCUAUCAGAUGAGCCUAGGUCGGAUUAGCUAGUUGGUGAGGUAAAGCUCACCAAGGCGACGAUCCGUAACUGGUCUGAGAGGAUGAUCAGUCACACUGGAACUGAGACACGGUCCAGACUCCUACGGGAGGCAGCAGUGGGGAAUAUUGGACAAUGGGCGAAAGCCUGAUCCAGCCAUGCCGCGUGUGUGAAGAAGGUCUUCGGAUUGUAAAGCACUUUAAGUUGGGAGGAAGGGCAGUAAGUUAAUACCUUGCUGUUUUGACGUUACCAACAGAAUAAGCACCGGCUAACUUCGUGCCAGCAGCCGCGGUAAUACGAAGGGUGCAAGCGUUAAUCGGAAUUACUGGGCGUAAAGCGCGCGUAGGUGGUUCGUUAAGUUGGAUGUGAAAGCCCCGGGGUCUACCUGGGAACUGCGUCCAAAACUGGGGAGCUAGAGUAUGGCAGAUGGUGGGGGAAUUUCCUGUGGAGCGGUCCCAAGCGCAGAUAUA